GGGGCUGUAGUUCAGUUGGGAGAACGUUUGACUGGCAGUCAAAAGGUCAGGGGUUCGAGUCCCCUCAGCUCCACCA
RNAcentral lists this transfer RNA (76 nucleotides) under Chloroflexota bacterium. RNAcentral's name for it is "tRNA-Ala". It matches the Rfam family "tRNA". From Rfam's summary of the family: Transfer RNA (tRNA) molecules are approximately 80 nucleotides in length. Their secondary structure includes four short double-helical elements and three loops (D, anti-codon, and T loops). The record is from RNAcentral. Lineage: Bacteria; Bacillati; Chloroflexota. RNAcentral also lists the same sequence under 3 other names.